ACCAGACGUCCUCUUGGCUUCGAGAUGGCUUCGUGAGAGUGCCUCUGAUUGCAGGUGAGUACCCCGGGGCUGGCUCCUCCAGUGUCUUCUCAGUCCUGAGCAACAGUGCAGAGGUGAAACGGGAGCGCCUGGAAGAUGUGGUGGGAGGCUGUUGCUAUCGGGUCAACAACAGCUUGGACCAUGAGUACCAACCACGGCCCGUGGAGGUGAUCAUCAGUUCUGCGAAGGAGAUGGUUGGUCAGAAGAUGAAGUACAGUAUUGUGAGCAGGAACUGUGAGCACUUUGUCACCCAGCUGAGAUAUGGCAAGUCCCGCUGUAAACAGGUGGAAAAGGCCAAGGUUGAAGUCGGUGUGGCCACGGCGCUUGGAAUCCUGGUUAUUGCUGGAUGCUCUUUUGCGAUUAGGAGAUACCAAAAAAAAGCGACAGCCUGAAGCAGCCACAAAAUCCUGUGUUAGAAGCAGCUGUGGGGGUCCCAGUGGAGAUGAGCCUCCCCCACGCCU
Molecule: small RNA, 500 nt
Filed under: Pan troglodytes (chimpanzee)
Lineage: Eukaryota; Metazoa; Chordata; Mammalia; Primates; Hominidae
Description: processed transcript
Source: RNAcentral